UGUGCAUCGUGAACUAUAACAAGUGGAA
RNAcentral lists this non-coding RNA (28 nucleotides) under Homo sapiens (human). Lineage: Eukaryota; Metazoa; Chordata; Mammalia; Primates; Hominidae. The record is from RNAcentral.